Molecule: ribosomal RNA, 259 nt
Filed under: uncultured bacterium
Lineage: Bacteria
Description: partial 16S ribosomal RNA
Rfam family: Bacterial small subunit ribosomal RNA
Source: RNAcentral
CGGGCGGACGGGUGAGUAACGCGUGGGCAACCUGCCUCAUACAGGGGGAUAACAGUUAGAAAUGACUGCUAAUACCGCAUAAGACCACGGUACUGCAUGGUACAGUGGUAAAAACUCCGGUGGUAUGAGAUGGGCCCGCGUCUGAUUAGCUAGUUGGUGAGGUAACGGCUCACCAAGGCAACGAUCAGUAGCCGACCUGAGAGGGUGACCGGCCACAUUGGGACUGAGACACGGCCCAAACUCCUACGGGAGGCAGCAG